RNAcentral lists this ribosomal RNA (1101 nucleotides) under Triticum aestivum (bread wheat). Its description in RNAcentral is "partial small subunit ribosomal RNA". Lineage: Eukaryota; Viridiplantae; Streptophyta; Magnoliopsida; Poales; Poaceae. The record is from RNAcentral.
AUGGGGAAGAAGCCGGGCAACGCUGGCCCUUCCUCGGCAUCCAGGCCCAUGAACCAGGCCGUGUCGCUCCGGGAGGAGACCUCUGGGAAGACGCAGGCCGACCCGCCCUCCCUGCUGAGGGUCCAGCACCUGCAGCGGUUGGGGGCGUGGGCGAGCGGGGAGGUGGGAGUUGGCUCGAUCGGGGCCCUGCUAGGCCGCCGCCUCGCCACGAAUGCCGAGGCGGCCGGGAUCCCUAUAGGCGCCUCCACCUUUCUUUGCCAGAGGUGUGAAUCAAUCUUGCAGCCAGGCUUCAACUGCACAAUCCGCAUAAAGAACAACAAAAAGAAUGGAAAGCGGCGCAAGAAGUCAAAUCCUGGCCAAAACAGUGUUGUCUAUGCAUGCCAUUUCUGUGGAGACGAAAACCUGAUACGGGGUAGUGGAAAGGGUAUCGUGAAGGGCCUGUUGUCAUCAAGAAAACCCGUUAGCACCAGCAUAAUGUUGAAAGGAGUCAAUAUGCCAACAGUAAUAACUACUAAAAAGGGGAUUGAGCAUUCUGUAACAGCAGCCUCGCAACUGGAAUCAUCCAGGUUGAAAACAUCCACUAUUGAAAAGGAUAAACAAGGUAAUGUGCCAAAAUCUAAUCUUCCUGGAGAAUCUAAAAUGGAGAAGAAAGGGGGAGUUUCCUCAAUGGUGGAUUGUGGUCUGUUAGGAGAUAAAUGUAUGAAUGGAAUUGAGCCCGCGGCUUCCAAAAAUACUACAACAUGUGAACCUGAUGUCACUUCCCAAGCAGAAUUUCUAGUUGGGUCAAACUUUGUUACUCCUCGGAAGAGCAAACUGGUGGACGUGACUGCGCCUAUAGCUUCAGAAGAACCAUUGAAGACUAAAAGUACACUGAACAGCAAAGGACAGAAUUGUGGUUCCGUUGCUGGGAAGACCCCUGGAAGUUAUAGCAAGUCAGCUUCGAAUACCAAAUCUGCACCAGGUGAUUCUAGUCAGCCAGCUGGUAGUUUAAGGAAGCGGAAAAGAAAAGGGUGGACUACACUGAAGCAGAUCGCUGAGAAGGAAGAGCUUGAGAGAAAACAGAAGAUGGAUAACUUUGUAAUCCCGUUCUUCAUGCAGUAG